Molecule: ribosomal RNA, 235 nt
Filed under: uncultured bacterium
Lineage: Bacteria
Description: partial 16S ribosomal RNA
Rfam family: Bacterial small subunit ribosomal RNA
Source: RNAcentral
CCACGGGUGAGUAACACGUAUCCAACCUGCCGUCUACUCUUGGCCAGCCUCCUGAAGGAAGAUUAAUCCAGGAUGGCAUCAUGAGUUCACAUGUCCGCAUGAUUAAAGGUAUUUUCCGGUAGACGAUGGGGAUGCGUUCCAUUAGAUAGUAGGCGGGGUAACGGCCCACCUAGUCAACGAUGGAUAGGGGUUCUGAGAGGAAGGUCCCCCACAUUGGAACUGAGACACGGUCCAA